RNAcentral lists this non-coding RNA (87 nucleotides) under Verrucomicrobiota bacterium. Its description in RNAcentral is "Verrucomicrobia bacterium TPP sequence". It matches the Rfam family "TPP riboswitch aptamer (THI element)", at positions 11 to 88 of the family's 105-position model. From Rfam's summary of the family: Vitamin B(1) in its active form thiamin pyrophosphate (TPP) is an essential coenzyme that is synthesised by coupling of pyrimidine and thiazole moieties in bacteria. The previously detected thiamin-regulatory element, thi box was extended, resulting in a new, highly conserved RNA secondary structure, the THI element, which is widely distributed in eubacteria and also occurs in some archaea. The record is from RNAcentral. Lineage: Bacteria; Pseudomonadati; Verrucomicrobiota.
CGGGGAGCCCGCCGCGCCGGGCUGAGAUGGGAGGACGACCGCUUCCCCGACCCUUGGAACCUGAUGCGGGUCAUGCCGCCGUAGGGA